Long non-coding RNA from Cyprinus carpio (common carp), 639 nucleotides. RefSeq lists it as uncharacterized. Lineage: Eukaryota; Metazoa; Chordata; Actinopteri; Cypriniformes; Cyprinidae. The transcript is spliced from 3 exons. The record is from RefSeq and is a predicted model, not a curated record.
AACCAGCACCAGCACCACAGAAUCUCAGACGCUAAAUCAGCCCACAGGAGAUUUACCUACAACCUGUAUAAACAAUGGUAAAUCUAAUGAUACAACAUUCUCCACACCAUUCCCGACAUCACCAUUCGGCUUUACUCAGUGGUGGAUAUGGCUAGCGUUGGCAGUUGGAUGCGUAGUACUUCUGGUGUCAAUUGUUGUCAUAUGCAUCUUGACACGCAAACCUGAAGACCUCAUUUAUGAGAACACCAAACCAGUGGAAUCGAGCUGCUGGAGGCGAAACCGGACUAAGACGGACAUCUGCGACCUGCCUUCAUCCAAAAAAACCGACACCAUUAAACCGCUGAGGAAGUACGACACUCUUUCAAGCAACAGAAUCCGAAGGCCCUAAGUAUAUGAAAGAAUUACCCUCAGAAAAGACAUUAAAUAUAUCAAAUACCUUACUGUACACACAUAUUUAAUUUUAUAACGUAGCAUUUCCUGAAAGACGGGAAGCUGUAAAUAUAAAGCUGUUUUUUUUUCUUUCUUUUAGAAAGAGAUUCAUGAGAAAAUCUGAUUUUUUUCCUUUAAUGACUUUCAACUGUAUCAUACCGAAACAUUCUGUGGUUACAAAUAAAUGUGAAAACCACCAAAAAGAAAAAA